UACGGAGGGUGCGAGCGUUAAUCGGAAUUACUGGGCGUAAAGCGUGCGUAGGCGGACUGUUAAGUCAGAUGUGAAAGCCCCGGGCUUAACCUGGGAACUGCAUUUGAUACUGGCAAUCUAGAAUGUAGUAGAGGGGGGUAGAAUUCCUAGUGUAGCGGUGAAAUGCGUAGAUAUUAGGAGGAAUACCAGUGGCGAAGGCGGCCCCCUGGACUAACAUUGACGCUGAGGUACGAAAGCGUGGGGAGCAAACAGG
Molecule: ribosomal RNA, 253 nt
Filed under: uncultured bacterium
Lineage: Bacteria
Description: partial 16S ribosomal RNA
Rfam family: Bacterial small subunit ribosomal RNA
Source: RNAcentral